RNAcentral lists this ribosomal RNA (222 nucleotides) under uncultured bacterium. RNAcentral's name for it is "partial 16S ribosomal RNA". It matches the Rfam family "Bacterial small subunit ribosomal RNA", at positions 524 to 743 of the family's 1533-position model. The record is from RNAcentral.
GACGAACCGUGCGAACGUUGUUCGGAAUCACUGGGCUUAAAGGGCGCGUAGGCGGCAGUUCAAAGUCUGGGGUGAAAGUCCUCCCAGCUCAACUGGAGAAGUGCCUUGGAUACUGGAUUGCUCGAGGGAGGUAGGGGUCGAGGGAACUUCUGGUGGAGCGGUGAAAUGCGUUGAUAUCAGAAGGACGCCGGUGGCGAAAGCGCUCGACUGGACCUCUCGUGA